Small nuclear RNA from Phyllostomus hastatus (greater spear-nosed bat), 134 nucleotides. RefSeq annotates it as U11 spliceosomal RNA. NCBI's taxonomy places the organism in Eukaryota, Metazoa, Chordata, Mammalia, Chiroptera, Phyllostomidae. The transcript has a single exon. The record is from RefSeq and is a predicted model, not a curated record.
AAAAAGGGUUUCAAUCAUGAGAUGCACACAUAGGACAGCUUGAUUGCUCUACAUGUGAAAUCAACAUCAAGAGAUGUCGGAAGCAUGAUUUUUUGGUACCUGGGCAGCUAGUGAUUGUUGAUCCUGGCACCCAC